AAGUCGUAACAAGGUUUCCGUAGGUGAACCUGCGGAAGGAUCAUUAACACUUUUUCAUUUUAUUGAAAAUUUAUUUUUCAAUAAUUUACUUUUACCCACAUUUUUGGAUGAAUUAUUUCUUUUUUAUUCUUUUUUAAAAUUUUAAACCCAAAUACCAUAUUAUUUCUAACAUUUAUACACAAAAAGUUUAAGAAAAACAUAAAAAACAACUCUUAACAACGGAUAUCUAGGCUCUC
RNAcentral lists this unclassified non-coding RNA (236 nucleotides) under fungal sp. RNAcentral describes it as "partial internal transcribed spacer region". The stretch from base 1 to 46 matches the Rfam family "Eukaryotic small subunit ribosomal RNA", at positions 1786 to 1831 of the family's 1831-position model. The record is from RNAcentral. Lineage: Eukaryota; Fungi.